Gossypium raimondii (Peruvian cotton) is the source of this 1086-nucleotide long non-coding RNA. RefSeq lists it as uncharacterized. The transcript is spliced from 3 exons. The record is from RefSeq and is a predicted model, not a curated record. Lineage: Eukaryota; Viridiplantae; Streptophyta; Magnoliopsida; Malvales; Malvaceae.
GGUAAAAUUUUAUUUUUUUAUUUAAAUACUCUUGUACUAAUAUAUAUUGUUUUUAGGAGAGAAAAUAAAAUAAAAUGAAAAAAUAAGUGCGUAUAAAAAAAAGAAAAAGAAAGGUCACCUUGAAUGUUUUUGUUUUAAAUCUGUUUCUUUUUGUUCUUUUUAUUUCUAAAUAAUGCUUGUAAAAAAAAACGAGGAAGAGACUCCCUUUUUUACAAAACCUCCAGAUCGGUUUUCUCCCCCCUUUUUUUUACAACCUCUUUCGGGUUUAUAUCCGAAAAUCAAAAUAGAAAAAUAUUUGCUCAUCUUUUGUGUUGCCUGUUUCUUUGCGUGUUUGCUCUGUUUUGCAGGUGAGCAGUUGGGUGACGGGACGUGCGCGGCGCAAGUGGCAGAGCAGGUGGACGAAGGCCCUAGGUGCGGCACACCUAGGGUUGCUGCUGUUUCUUUUUCUUUUCUGCAAAUGGGCUAGGGUUAGGUAGAUUGGGUUUGGGCUUGUUGGGCUAUUUGUUUUGGGUUUGUUAAUAGUUUAGUUUGUAUUGGUUUUGAUGGGUUUUGGGAUGGUGUUGUAGUGGGUUUGGUAUUUGGGCCCAUUAUUUGUGUUUGCUGUUUGUUGUUUGGGCCGGGCGAAAUUGGGCUUCUACAAUGUCUUACCGAUUUCUAAGGGGUAAGACAUUUUCCACAGCUCCUCUCUUCACUCUCUUCACCCUAACGAUUACAGCCUCAUCAUCUCUGCCUCGUGUUCUCUGCUAGUUCACCUCUUCUCUUUGCUUGCCUCGUUAGCGUACUGGUUCACCUCUGCUGGUUCAUCGAAGAUGGAUCGUAAUCAACAUCAAAAUGCAAUUGUCGGAGUCGUGGCUUCAGUUUUAGCUUUUAGGGCUCUUUGGAUUAAAAAAAUUAAAAAUUAGGAAGGAAAUUGCUUUUCACCCUCGUGUGAAUCGAGAUUGUGAAAGAGAAUUAUAUUAAUAGUAUUUUAUAUAGUGGUGACCAGCAUUGUAUUGAUGUGAUAAGGAUGAGACCGAUCGCCUUUUUUAAUUUGUGUGAUAUUCUUAGUAGGAAUAAUUUGUUACAAUCAUCUAAAUCUGUGAAUAU